RNAcentral lists this ribosomal RNA (417 nucleotides) under uncultured bacterium. Its description in RNAcentral is "bacterial SSU rRNA". It matches the Rfam family "Bacterial small subunit ribosomal RNA", at positions 64 to 507 of the family's 1533-position model. The record is from RNAcentral.
GAACGCUUCAUCGGUUUCGGCCGAUGGGGAGUGGCGCACGGGUGUAGUCGCGCGUGGGAACCUGCCCUGUUGUGGGGGAUCACCGAGGGAAACUUCGGCUAAUACCGCAUGCGCCCCGGGGCAACUCGGGGGAAAGAUUUAUCGCAGCAGGAGGGGCCCGCGUCGGAUUAGGUAGUUGGCGGGGUAACGGCCCACCAAGCCUUUGAUCCGUAGCUGGUCUGAGAGGAUGAUCAGCCACACUGGGUACUGAGACACGGCCCAUACUCCUACGGGAGGCAGCAGUGGGGAAUAUUGGACAAUGGGCGCAAGCCUGAUCCAGCCAUGCCGCGUGGGUGAUGAAGGCCCUAGGGUUGUAAAGCCCUUUCGGCGGGGAAGAUAAUGACGGUACCCGCAGAAGAAGCCCCGGCUAACUUCGUG